Molecule: non-coding RNA, 115 nt
Organism: Acanthosepion pharaonis
Lineage: Eukaryota; Metazoa; Mollusca; Cephalopoda; Sepiida; Sepiidae
Source: the annotation of a GenBank genome assembly
UUACGGUCAUAUCACGUUGAAGCUACCAGUUCCCGUACGACCACCGAAGUUAAUCAACGUCCAGCCUGGUGAGUACCAAGAUAGUUGAUCACUCUGGAACAGCAGGUGCUGUAAG